RNAcentral lists this transfer RNA (184 nucleotides) under Chryseobacterium oranimense. RNAcentral describes it as "tRNA_Pro_AGG". It matches the Rfam family "tRNA". Rfam says of the family: Transfer RNA (tRNA) molecules are approximately 80 nucleotides in length. Their secondary structure includes four short double-helical elements and three loops (D, anti-codon, and T loops). Lineage: Bacteria; Pseudomonadati; Bacteroidota; Flavobacteriia; Flavobacteriales; Weeksellaceae. The record is from RNAcentral.
GGAGAAGUAGCUCAGCAGGUAGAGCACAUGCACGAAAGGUCCUUUUAUUAUUACCUUGAUUUAAAAUAAAACAAGGCUUAAUUUAAAAUGAGUCAUUAAAGUAAAUAAAAAAGUAGGGUGUCGUUUUAGAAUCUUACUUCUUUUGUUAAACGUUUGGCCGCAGGUUCGACUCCUGCCUUCCCUG